Molecule: non-coding RNA, 1029 nt
Organism: Poecilia reticulata (guppy)
Lineage: Eukaryota; Metazoa; Chordata; Actinopteri; Cyprinodontiformes; Poeciliidae
Source: RefSeq, a predicted model, not a curated record
GAGCUAAAAUGCAUCAUAUUAUCUCACCAGCGAAUAAUGUGUUUAGUGAAACAGUUGGUUAAACCAAGGUUAUAAAACGAAGCGCGRGUUAUUUUGAUUUAUUUAUUUCUUUUUCUUUGCAGUGCUCAAGUUGACAUGAUGAAGUCAUUCUGUUAUCUCCCGCCUCACUGAAGGUAUCGCCCAGUAGAAUCGUCUGGCUGCAUUUWCCCGGGAUGAGAGGGAAGGUUGAAUGGCACUUUUACAUUGACCCACUGUAAGAGCAUCCUUGGGCCAAGUACAAAGGGGUGCCGUCUGGAGGCAGGCCACAGCUACGAGGCCCAAUGGAGACAUGAAUAAGUGCGAUGAAUACCUAAAUAUCUAGAGAAAACAGCCUGACAAAAGCCAACAUAGUCAGUCCUGGAUUGCCAGCAGAGGAGAUGAAAGGGUUUGGGGAGAUCCCCAUCAAUGUACCACAUGUAGAAAGAUGGAGUGGGAGGAGACAUGCAACUGUCUAUCAUGCCACCGUGGAUGCUUAGGUUGAAGAAUAACCAGAGAAACCAGAGAAAAAUUCAUUACUUGAUGCUUAGUCAUGCUGUAUUUACAAGAUCAGUUCCAUGUGACCACUGAUCCAGAGAAAAAUAAAAACAUGCCAAAAAGGCAACAUGACAGACGUUAGUAUUGCAGCCACCAUGACUUCCUGACUUCCACCUCAUUUCUCUGGGACUAAGCAUGUUGCUUUGAGAUCCGACAGUGCUGGUGCCUAACAUUCAAAAGCAGCUCUGUGAAAAGUCUAAGUAAAUACGCUUGAGGCUGUGAUGCAAAGUCAGUUCGUCUGCUGCAAAACAACAACUAGAGCUCAUCUGAUGAUGCUGAAUGGACAUGAAGAGCCAAACUGGUUUGCAGAAACUGACAAUGUUUUUCAAAGUCAUCCAAGUCCUAAACACAUUUUCUUGCAACUUGUAUUUUUUUCAUUUGAAGGUUUGUGUAGUGUUUCUUGUUGCUGUCGCUACUGAAUUACUGCUAAUCGGGAUUAGAAAUACAAAUGCAGAA